AUUGAACGCUGGCGGUAUGCUUAACACAUGCAAGUCGAACGAGGUGCUUUUGUAGCAAUACGAGGGUAUCCUAGUGGCGAACGGGUGAGUAACGCGUUGGUGACCUGCCCCAAAGUGUGGGAUAACAGUUCGAAAGGAUUGCUAAUACCGCAUGUGGUCAUUGGAUCUAGAAACCGAUGACUAAAGCAGUAAUGCGCUUUGGGAGGGACCUGCGUCCCAUCAGCUAGUUGGUGAGGUAACGGCCCACCAAGGCUACGACGGGUAGGGGGCCUGAGAGGGUGGCCCCCCACAAUGGAACUGAAACACGGUCCAUACACCUACGGGUGGCUG
This 330-nucleotide ribosomal RNA is filed under the name uncultured Chloroflexota bacterium. RNAcentral describes it as "bacterial SSU rRNA". It matches the Rfam family "Bacterial small subunit ribosomal RNA", at positions 30 to 351 of the family's 1533-position model. Lineage: Bacteria; Bacillati; Chloroflexota. The record is from RNAcentral.